AUCCUGGCUCAGGAUGAACGCUAGCGGCAGGCUUAACACAUGCAAGUCGAGGGGCAGCGCGGGGUAGCAAUACUCUGGCGGCGACCGGCGAAAGGGUGCGUAACGCGUGAGCAACUUGCCCGUAUCCGGGACAUAAGCGGUGGAAACGCCGUCUAAUUUCCCAUAACAACAGGAGCCGCAUGACUCCAGUUUGAAAGAUCCGUCGGAUACGGAUGGGCUCGCGAGACAUUAGCUAGUCGGCGUGGUAACGGCACACCGAGGCGACGAUGUCUAGGGGUUCUGAGAGGAAGGUCCCCCACACUGGAACUGAGACACGGUCCAGACUCCUACGGGAGGCAGCAGUGAGGAAUAUUGGUCAAUGGGCGCAAGCCUGAACCAGCCAUGCCGCGUGUAGGAAUAAGGCCCUAUGGGUCGUAAACCGCUUUUGUUGGGGAGCAAUAAGUCUUACGUGUAAGAUGAUGAGAGUACCCAGCGAAUAAGCAUCGGCUAACUCCGUGCC
RNAcentral lists this ribosomal RNA (499 nucleotides) under uncultured organism. RNAcentral's name for it is "SSU rRNA". It matches the Rfam family "Bacterial small subunit ribosomal RNA", at positions 16 to 509 of the family's 1533-position model. The record is from RNAcentral.